GACAGAGGUGCCAAGCGUUAGGCGGAAUCACUGGGCUUAAAGCGUGUGUAGGCGGGUCGUUAAGUACCUUGUGAAAUCCCCCGGCUCAACCGGGGAACGGCUGGGUAUACUGGCGAUCUUGAGCCACCUAGGGGCAGUCGGAACAAGUGGUGGAGCGGUGAAAUGCGUAGAUAUCCACAGGAACUCCGGUGGCGAAGGCGGCACGCUGGACCCUCACUGACGCUGAGGCGCGAAAGCCAGGGGAGCGAACGGG
RNAcentral lists this ribosomal RNA (253 nucleotides) under uncultured bacterium. RNAcentral's name for it is "partial 16S ribosomal RNA". It matches the Rfam family "Bacterial small subunit ribosomal RNA", at positions 524 to 776 of the family's 1533-position model. The record is from RNAcentral.